GGACAGUUAGUUUAAAAAAACACCUGAUUUCGACUCAGAAAAAUGUAACACAACUACAACUGUCUA
This 66-nucleotide transfer RNA is filed under the name Batrachomoeus trispinosus (three-spined frogfish). RNAcentral describes it as "tRNA-Arg". It matches the Rfam family "tRNA". Rfam says of the family: Transfer RNA (tRNA) molecules are approximately 80 nucleotides in length. Their secondary structure includes four short double-helical elements and three loops (D, anti-codon, and T loops). The record is from RNAcentral. Lineage: Eukaryota; Metazoa; Chordata; Actinopteri; Batrachoidiformes; Batrachoididae.